GUGGGGAAUAUUGGACAAUGGGGGGAACCCUGAUCCAGCCAUGCCGCGUGUGUGAAGAAGGCCUUUUGGUUGUAAAGCACUUUAAGCGAGGAGGAGGCUACCGAGAUUAAUACUCUUGGAUAGUGGACGUUACUCGCAGAAUAAGCACCGGCUAACUCUGUGCCAGCAGCCGCGGUAAUACAGAGGGUGCAAGCGUUAAUCGGAUUUACUGGGCGUAAAGCGCGAGUAGGUGGCCAAUUAAGUCAAAUGUGAAAUCCCCGAGCUUAACUUGGGAAUUGCAUUCGAUACUGGUUGGCUAGAGUAUGGGAGAGGAUGGUAGAAUUCCAGGUGUAGCGGUGAAAUGCGUAGAGAUCUGGAGGAAUACCGAUGGCGAAGGCAGCCAUCUGGCCUAAUACUGACACUGAGGUGCGAAAGCAUGGGGAGCAAACAGGAUUAGAUACCCCGGUAGUCC
This 451-nucleotide ribosomal RNA is filed under the name uncultured bacterium. Its description in RNAcentral is "bacterial SSU rRNA". It matches the Rfam family "Bacterial small subunit ribosomal RNA", at positions 354 to 796 of the family's 1533-position model. The record is from RNAcentral.